CCUACGGGAGGCAGCAGUGAGGAAUAUUGGUCAAUGGGCGCGAGCCUGAACCAGCCAAGUAGCGUGAAGGAUGACUGCCCUACGGGUUGUAAACUUCUUUUAUAAAGGAAUAAAGUGAGGCACGUGUGCCUUUUUGUAUGUACUUUAUGUAUAAGGAUCGGCUAACUCCGUGCCAGCAGCCGCGGUAAUACGGAGGAGCCGAGCGUUAUCCGGAUUUAUUGGGUUUAAAGGGAGCGUAGAUGGGUUGUUAAGUCAGUUGUGAAAGUUUGCGGCUCAACCGUAAAAUUGCAAUUGAUACUGGCAGCCUUGAGUACAGUUGAGGUAGGCGGAAUGCGAGGUGUAGCGGUGAAAUGCUUAGAUAUCACGAAGAACACCGAUUGCGAAGGCAGCUUACUAAGCCAUAACUGACACUGAAGCACGAAAGCGUGGGGAGCAAACAGGAUUAGAUACCCCUGUAGUC
Molecule: ribosomal RNA, 460 nt
Filed under: uncultured bacterium
Lineage: Bacteria
Description: partial 16S ribosomal RNA
Rfam family: Bacterial small subunit ribosomal RNA
Source: RNAcentral